This 490-nucleotide ribosomal RNA is filed under the name uncultured bacterium. RNAcentral describes it as "partial 16S ribosomal RNA". It matches the Rfam family "Bacterial small subunit ribosomal RNA", at positions 30 to 507 of the family's 1533-position model. The record is from RNAcentral.
AUUGAACGCUGGCGGCAGGCCUAACACAUGCAAGUCGAACGGUAACAGGAAGAAGCUUGCUUCUUUGCUGACGAGUGGCGGACGGGUGAGUAAUGUCUGGGAAACUGCCUGAUGGAGGGGGAUAACUACUGGAAACGGUAGCUAAUACCGCAUAACGUCGCAAGACCAAAGAGGGGGACCUUCGGGCCUCUUGCCAUCGGAUGUGCCCAGAUGGGAUUAGCUAGUAGGUGGGGUAACGGCUCACCUAGGCGACGAUCCCUAGCUGGUCUGAGAGGAUGACCAGCCACACUGGAACUGAGACACGGUCCAGACUCCUACGGGAGGCAGCAGUGGGGAAUAUUGCACAAUGAGCGCAAGCCUGAUGCAGCCAUGCCGCGUGUAUGAAGAAGGCCUUCGGGUUGUAAAGUACUUUCAGCGGGGAGGAAGGGAGUAAAGUUAAUACCUUUGCUCAUUGACGUUACCCGCAGAAGAAGCACCGGCUAACUCCGUG